GAUGAACGCUGGCGGCGUGCCUAAUACAUGCAAGUCGAGCGAACAGACGAGGAGCUUGCUCCUCUGACGUUAGCGGCGGGCGGGUGAGUAACACGUGGAUAACCUACCUAUAAGACUGGGAUAACUUCGGGAAACCGGAGCUAAUACCGGAUAAUAUAUUGAACCGCAUGGUUCAAUAGUGAAAGACGGUUUUGCUGUCACUUAUAGAUGGAUCCGCGCCGCAUUAGCUAGUUGGUAAGGUAACGGCUUACCAAGGCAACGAUGCGUAGCCGACCUGAGAGGGCGAUCGGCCACACUGGAACUGAGACACGGUCCAGACUCCUACGGGAGGCAGCAGUAGGGAAUCUUCCGCAAUGGGCGAAAGCUUGACGGAGCAACGCCGCGUGAGUGAUGAAGGUCUUCGGAUCGUAAAACUCUGUUAUUAGGGAAGAACAAAUGUGUAAGUAACUAUGCACGUCUUGACGGUACCUAAUCAGAAAGCCACGGCUAACUACGUG
This 497-nucleotide ribosomal RNA is filed under the name uncultured bacterium. Its description in RNAcentral is "partial 16S ribosomal RNA". It matches the Rfam family "Bacterial small subunit ribosomal RNA", at positions 28 to 507 of the family's 1533-position model. The record is from RNAcentral.